This 168-nucleotide non-coding RNA is filed under the name Acinetobacter brisouisimilis. RNAcentral describes it as "Acinetobacter sp. ANC 3789 Pseudomonadales-1 RNA". It matches the Rfam family "Pseudomonadales-1 RNA". The record is from Rfam by way of RNAcentral. Lineage: Bacteria; Pseudomonadati; Pseudomonadota; Gammaproteobacteria; Moraxellales; Moraxellaceae.
CCCAUGCAGUUUAUCGCGCAUGGAUGGGAUAUGCAGGAAAGCAAUAAUCAAGUUGGGAGUGAUGCCCCGCCAUACAUGCAGAACGAAAGCUGAAAACUAAAAAUACUGUGCCCAUCCAGUGGUUUUUAAAGUAGGUGAGUAGCGUCUAGCCCCGCGAGAGAUUGGGCA